GGACCCGCACAAGCGGUGGAGCAUGUGGUUUAAUUCGAUGCAACGCGAAAAACCUUACCUACACUUGACAUACUUCGAAUUUUCUAGAGAUAGAUUAGUGCCUUCGGGAGCGAAGAUACAGGUGCUGCAUGGCUGUCGUCAGCUCGUGUCGUGAGAUGUUGGGUUAAGUCCUAUAACGAGCGCAACCCUUACCCUUAUUUGCCAGCGGUUAGGCCGGGAACUAUAAGGGAACUGCCGGUAAUAAGCCGGAGGAAGGUGGGGACGACGUCAAGUCAUCAUGGCCCUUACGUGUAGGGCUACACACGUGCUACAAUGGGAGAUACAGACGGUUGCUAAAGCGCGAGCUGGAGCCAAUCCGACAAAGUCUCUCGUAGUCCGAAUUGCAGUCUGGAACUCGACUGCAUG
This 405-nucleotide ribosomal RNA is filed under the name uncultured bacterium. RNAcentral describes it as "bacterial SSU rRNA". It matches the Rfam family "Bacterial small subunit ribosomal RNA", at positions 917 to 1322 of the family's 1533-position model. The record is from RNAcentral.